This 752-nucleotide ribosomal RNA is filed under the name Teratodiplogaster variegatae. Its description in RNAcentral is "eukaryotic LSU rRNA". It matches the Rfam family "Eukaryotic large subunit ribosomal RNA", at positions 367 to 944 of the family's 3401-position model. The record is from RNAcentral. Lineage: Eukaryota; Metazoa; Nematoda; Chromadorea; Rhabditida; Diplogasteridae.
AAAAGAACUUUGAAGAGAGAGUUAAAUAGGACGUGAAACCACUAGGGACGAAGCGGAUGGAGUUGACGAAACUAGUAGCAUUCAGUAUUGUGCGUUCGCCGGAUGGUGCAUGCUGGUGGGGUGUUGUUCUCCACUGCGGUGCUGUUCAGUGUGGGCGUGCGGUGUGCAUUUGUUGCUAGUAUGUGCUGAGAGGUCUGGUUGCUUCUUCCUAACCUUUGUGCGUUUCCCUAAGCCUCGGCUAAGGUGUUUUGUGCAAGGGGGAUGUUGAUGGUGGCUAGGCUCCGAUUGCGGCUAGCGAUUGCGCGCUUAGCGUGCGUAGUGCGUUGUGCGUGAGUAGUGACAUGUCACUUGCUGGCGAUUUCAGCGUAUUGCGUUGCGUUUGGUGCCAUGGACGGUCGUCUCAGUAUGAAAAGUCGACGACCCAUUCGACCCGUCUUGAAACACGGACCAAGAAGUCUAGCAUGUGCGCGAGUCAUUGGGUGUAGAAACCUAAAGGCGAAAUGAAAGUGAAGGCCGACUUGGUGCGGCUGAUAUGGGAGUCGUGUUCGUUCGCGAGUGCGAUGCACCAUAUCCCCAUCCCGUGAGCUUGCUCUGGGGUGGAGGCAGAGCGUACAUGCUGGGACCCGAAAGAUGGUGAACUAUGCCUGAGCAGGAUGAAGUCAGAGGAAACUCUGAUGGAAGUCCGAAGCGGUUCUGACGUGCAAAUCGAUCGUCUGACUUGGGUAUAGGGGCGAAAGACUAAUCGAACCAUC